UACGGAGGAUGCAAGCGUUAUCCGGAAUGAUUGGGCGUAAAGCGUCCGCAGGUGGCUGUGUAAGUCUGCUGUUAAAGAGUGAGGCUCAACCUCAUAAAGGCAGUGGAAACUACAUGGCUAGAGUGCGUUCGGGGCAGAGGGAAUUCCUGGUGUAGCGGUGAAAUGCGUAGAGAUCAGGAAGAACACCGGUGGCGAAGGCAGCCCCCUGGGCUGAGAUUGACGCUCAGGCACGAAAGCGUGGGGAGCAAACAGG
RNAcentral lists this ribosomal RNA (253 nucleotides) under uncultured bacterium. RNAcentral's name for it is "partial 16S ribosomal RNA". It matches the Rfam family "Bacterial small subunit ribosomal RNA", at positions 524 to 776 of the family's 1533-position model. The record is from RNAcentral.